RNAcentral lists this ribosomal RNA (204 nucleotides) under uncultured Lactobacillus sp. RNAcentral describes it as "partial 16S ribosomal RNA". It matches the Rfam family "Bacterial small subunit ribosomal RNA", at positions 326 to 526 of the family's 1533-position model. The record is from RNAcentral. Lineage: Bacteria; Bacillati; Bacillota; Bacilli; Lactobacillales; Lactobacillaceae.
ACGGGGGGCCUCGGGAGGCAGCAGUAGGGAAUCUUCCACAAUGGACGCAAGUCUGAUGGAGCAACGCCGCGUGAGUGAAGAAGGUUUUCGGAUCGUAAAGCUCUGUUGUUGGUGAAGAAAGAUAGUGAGAGUAACUGCUCAUUAUUUGCCGGUAAUCAACCAGAAAGUCACGGCUAACUACGUGCCAGCAGCCGCGGUAAUAAU